UACGAAGGGAGCUAGCGUUGUUCGGAAUUACUGGGCGUAAAGGGCGUGUAGGCGGUACCAUAAGUCAGAUGUGAAAGCCCCAGGCUUAACCUGGGAGGUGCAUUUGAUACUGUGGAACUAGAGAUCGAGAGAGGAAAGCGGAAUUACGAGUGUAGAGGUGAAAUUCGUAGAUAUUCGUAAGAACACCAGUGGCGAAAGGCGGUCU
This 205-nucleotide ribosomal RNA is filed under the name uncultured bacterium. RNAcentral describes it as "partial 16S ribosomal RNA". It matches the Rfam family "Bacterial small subunit ribosomal RNA", at positions 524 to 727 of the family's 1533-position model. The record is from RNAcentral.